CCUACGGGUGGCAGCAGUGGGGAAUAUUGCACAAUGGGGGAAACCCUGAUGCAGCGACGCCGCGUGAGCGAGGAAGUAUCUCGGUAUGUAAAGCUCUAUCAGCAGGGACGAAAAAAGACGGUACCUGACCAAGAAGCCUCGGCUAACUACGUGCGAACAGCCUCGGUAAUACGCAGGGGCCAAGCGUUAUCCGGAUUUACUGGGGGUAACGGGAGCGUAGAGGGCAAGGCAAGCCAGAUGUGAAAGGUCAGGGCUCAACCCUGUACAUGCUUUUGAAACUGGGGGGCUAGAGUGCAGGAGAGGUAGGUGGAAUUCCUGGUGUAGCGGUGAAAUGCGUAGAUAUUAGGAGGAACACCGGUGGCGAAGGCAGCUUACUGGACUGUAACUGACGUUGAGGCUCGAAAGCGUGGGGAGCAAACAGGAUUAGAUACCCUGGUAGUC
RNAcentral lists this ribosomal RNA (441 nucleotides) under uncultured bacterium. RNAcentral describes it as "partial 16S ribosomal RNA". It matches the Rfam family "Bacterial small subunit ribosomal RNA", at positions 338 to 795 of the family's 1533-position model. The record is from RNAcentral.